GACGAACGCUGGCGGCGUGCUUAACACAUGCAAGUCGAACGAUGAUGCUCCAGCUUUGUUGGGGUGGAUUAGUGGCGAACGGGUGAGUAACACGUGAGUAACCUGCCCUCUUCUUUGGGAUAACGGUCGGAAACGGCUGCUAAUACUGGAUAUUCACUCAUUGGCGCAUGUUGGUGGGUGGAAAGGUUUUUUCUGGUGGGGGAUGGGCUCGCGGCCUAUCAGCUUGUUGGUGGGGUGAUGGCCUACCAAGGCUUUGACGGGUAACCGGCCUGAGAGGGUGACCGGUCACAUUGGGACUGAGAUACGGCCCAGACUCCUACGGGAGGCAGCAGUGGGGAAUUUUGCACAAUGGGCGCAAGCCUGAUGCAGCGACGCCGCGUGGGGGAUGAAGGCCUUCGGGUUGUAAACCUUUUUCGCUCAUGGUCAAGCCGCAGCUUUGGGUUGUGGUGAGGGUAGUGGGUAAAGAAGCGCCGGCUAACUACGUGCCAGCAGCCGCGGUAAUACGUAGGGCGCGAGCGUUGUCCGGAAUUAUUGGGCGUAAAGGGCUUGUAGGCGGUUGGCCGUGUCUGCCGUGAAAUCCUCUGGCUUAACUGGGGGCGUGCGGUGGGUACGGGUUGACUUGAGUGCGGUAGGGGAGACUGGAAUUCCUGGUGUAGCGGUGGAAUGCGCAGAUAUCAGGAGGAACACCGGUGGCGAAGGCGGGUCUCUGGGCCGUUACUGACGCUGAGGAGCGAAAGCGUGGGGAGCGAACAGG
Molecule: ribosomal RNA, 754 nt
Filed under: uncultured Actinomyces sp.
Lineage: Bacteria; Bacillati; Actinomycetota; Actinomycetes; Actinomycetales; Actinomycetaceae
Description: bacterial SSU rRNA
Rfam family: Bacterial small subunit ribosomal RNA
Source: RNAcentral